RNAcentral lists this ribosomal RNA (207 nucleotides) under uncultured bacterium. RNAcentral describes it as "partial 16S ribosomal RNA". It matches the Rfam family "Bacterial small subunit ribosomal RNA", at positions 524 to 729 of the family's 1533-position model. The record is from RNAcentral.
UACAGGGGGAGCAAGCGUUGUUCGGAUUUACUGGGCGUAAAGGGCGCGUAGGCGGUCGUGACAAGUCACUUGUGAAAUCUCCGGGCUUAACUCGGAACGGUCAAGUGAUACUGUCGGACUAGAGUACAGAAGGGGCAACUGGAAUUCUCGGUGUAGCGGUGAAAUGCGUAGAUAUCGAGAGGAACACCUGCGGCGAAGGCGGGUUGC